UACGGAGGGUGCAAGCGUUGUUCGGAAUUACUGGGCGUAAAGCGCGUGUAGGCGGCUUGGCAAGUCAGGCGUGAAAGCCCUCGGCUUAACCGGGGAAGUGCGUCUGAAACUGCCUUGCUUGAGUACGGGAGAGGGAGGCGGAAUUCCCAGUGUAGAGGUGAAAUUCGUAGAUAUUGGGAGGAACACCGGUGGCGAAAGCGGCCUCCUGGACCGAUACUGACGCUGAGACGCGAGAGCGUGGGGAGCAAACAGG
RNAcentral lists this ribosomal RNA (253 nucleotides) under uncultured delta proteobacterium. RNAcentral describes it as "partial 16S ribosomal RNA". It matches the Rfam family "Bacterial small subunit ribosomal RNA", at positions 524 to 776 of the family's 1533-position model. The record is from RNAcentral. Lineage: Bacteria; Deltaproteobacteria.